GUGUUAGUGAAAGACCUUGCGCCAUAAGGUGAGUCUAAGCUCUUACUCUCACUACGCUAUCUAACAAAGGCACAAUUGAUAGGGUUUAGCUUGCGGUGUCGGCAUCACCUGCCCAAGGACCUAUCUCUUUGUUAAUGCUGGAUCGUGUCUUUCCAUUAGGCCAAUCAACUAAGUUGAUAUCCAUCAACGAAGGGUGGUUCGAUAGUAGACUCAUUAUCUCACGUCCUCAUGUACACUAGUGUAAUACUUGUAGAGAUCUCUAUAUGGAUUGGAUUUGACAUUGAGGCGUCCCCCAACGAUAAUCACAAUUCAGACUUCAUGAGACGGAUUUGAGUAUCACUGAUCAAUGGAUCAGGUUGUGCCAAGCUCGCUUUCUUUCUAGUGCAAGACAAUAUCGAACCUAAGGGCCUCCCUCCUUUUAGGGAGCCACACGGCCUUGUGACACCAAUUUUGCCACUAUAUGGCGUCACCAUAUCACCAUCCAUGGUGAUGGCGUCAAGACCAACACUUUUUGGUCGCGCCAUGUCCUUUUGUAAGACAUCAAUCCUUGCAGACAUAUUUGCAGCAUGUGAUCUCGUCACUUUAACACUAUAAGCAUUUGGGAUCAAGAUGAGACUUAGUGGGGACAAACCACGACAAUUCACGUCGUUCCACUUGAACACUUGUGUUCUUAUCUCCCCCUAACGGCGGGAAUAUUGUCUCAUCAAAGUGACAAUCCGCAAUUUAGCGGUGAAUGAGAUUGCCUGACAAGGUUCCUACAUAUGCGGAUUAUAGGUGGAGGUUCAUAUCCAACCUAAACUUAUUCAACUCAAAUGACCCAUCAUUGUACGCAGUGGCAAUGCGAUUUGGCACCUAGAAAUGACAUCUAGCCGAGCUCAAGGAUUGGAGAUCCAUUUCAAUCCUGCCGAGCUUAAGGAUUGCAAUUUCGUGUCAAUCCUGGUACACAGUCACGAGCUGUAGUACAACAAAAUUCAAUAAUGGUGGGUCGUAGAUGAAUAGUAAAGCUGCAUACAAAUAUUGCAUAGCCCCAAGACGCAAUAGAAAAAGUGGUGCGCAUCAAUAAUGUUCGAGCGACAAGCUAAAGUUGCUUGGUCGUAGCCUCGGUGAGACCGUAUUGCGUGUGAACAUGGGGUACAGGACACUUCAACUUACAUCCUGAUGAACUUCUUUAAAGAAUGGGUAGUAAGCCCGUAGAAGUAUAAGCAGUAUAAGCAGUAGAUAAUAGUGUAACACGUGACCAGUGUGUUAACACGUCAACCAACACCAUAAAGCAUGAAAAG
Molecule: long non-coding RNA, 1280 nt
Filed under: Fragaria vesca (wild strawberry)
Lineage: Eukaryota; Viridiplantae; Streptophyta; Magnoliopsida; Rosales; Rosaceae
Description: long non-coding RNA (FVES_LNC005045)
Source: RNAcentral